AGAGUUUGAUCAUGGCUCAGAGCGAACGCUGGCGGCAGGCUUAACACAUGCAAGUCGAACGGGCAUAGCAAUAUGUCAGUGGCAGACGGGUGAGUAACGCGUGGGAACAUACCUCUUGGUUCGGAACAACACAGGGAAACUUGUGCUAAUACCGGAUAAGCCCUUACGGGGAAGGAUUUAUCGCCGAGAGAUUGGCCCGCGUCUGAUUAGCUAGUUGGUGUGGUAAAGGCGCACCAAGGCGACGAUCAGUAGCUGGUCUGAGAGGAUGAUCAGCCACAUUGGGACUGAGACACGGCCCAAACUCCUACGGGAGGCAGCAGUGGGGAAUAUUGGACAAUGGGCGCAAGCCUGAUCCAGCCAUGCCGCGUGAGUGAUGAAGGCCUUAGGGUUGUAAAGCUCUUUUGUACGGGAAGAUAAUGACGGUACCGUAAGAAUAAGCCCCGGCUAACUUCGUGCCAGCAGCCGCGGUAAUACGAAGGGGGCUAGCGUUGCUCGGAAUCACUGGGCGUAAAGGGUGCGUAGGCGGGUUUUUAAGUCAGAGGUGAAAUCCUGGAGCUCAACUCCAGAACUGCCUUUGAUACUGAAAGUCUUGAGUAUGGGAGAGGUGAGUGGAACUGCGAGUGUAGAGGUGAAAUUCGUAGAUAUUCGCAAGAACACCAGUGGCGAAGGCGGCUCACUGGCCCAUUACUGACGCUGAGGCACGAAAGCGUGGGGAGCAAACAGGAUUAGAUACCCUAGUAGUCC
Molecule: ribosomal RNA, 744 nt
Filed under: uncultured bacterium
Lineage: Bacteria
Description: bacterial SSU rRNA
Rfam family: Bacterial small subunit ribosomal RNA
Source: RNAcentral